RNAcentral lists this ribosomal RNA (508 nucleotides) under uncultured bacterium. RNAcentral's name for it is "partial 16S ribosomal RNA". It matches the Rfam family "Bacterial small subunit ribosomal RNA", at positions 28 to 523 of the family's 1533-position model. The record is from RNAcentral.
GACGAACGCUGGCGGCGCGCUUAACACAUGCAAGUCGAGCGAGAACCAGGGCUUCGGCCCUGGGGACAGCGGCGAACGGGUGAGUAACACGUGGGUAAUCUGCCCUCGGCACCGGAAUAGCCCGGGGAAACCCGGAUUAAUGCCGGAUGGCCCCUUCACCUCGCGAGGUGUCGGGAAAAGGUAGCUUCGGCCUCUGGCCGAGGAUGAGCCCGCGGCGGAUUAGCUUGUUGGCGGGGUAACGGCCCACCAAGGCGACGAUCCGUAGCUGGUCUGAGAGGACGAUCAGCCGCACUGGGACUGAGACACGGCCCAGACUCCUACGGGAGGCAGCAGUGGGGAAUCUUGCGCAAUGGGCGAAAGCCUGACGCAGCGACGCCGCGUGAGGGAAGAAGGCCUUCGGGUUGUAAACCUCUUUCAGGAGGGACGAAGCUACUCGGGUGAAUAGCCCAGAGGGUGACGGUGCCUCCAGAAGAAGCCCCGGCUAACUACGUGCCAGCAGCCGCCGUAA